This 429-nucleotide ribosomal RNA is filed under the name Chloroflexota bacterium. Its description in RNAcentral is "Chloroflexi bacterium partial 16S ribosomal RNA". It matches the Rfam family "Bacterial small subunit ribosomal RNA", at positions 355 to 776 of the family's 1533-position model. The record is from RNAcentral. Lineage: Bacteria; Bacillati; Chloroflexota.
UGGGGAAUCUUCGGCAAUGGACGAAAGUCUGACCGAGCAACGCCGCGGGAGGGAAGAAGGUUUUCGGAUCGUAAAACUCUGUUGUUAGAGAAGAACAAGGACGUUAGUAACUGAACGUCCCCUGACGGUAUCUAACCAGAAAGCCACGGCUAACUACGUGCCAGCAGCCGCGGUAAUACGUAGGUGGCAAGCGUUGUCCGGAUUUAUUGGGCGUAAAGCGAGCGCAGGCGGUUUCUUAAGUCUGAUGUGAAAGCCCCCGGCUCAACCGGGGAGGGUCCUUGGAAACUUGGAGACUUGAGUGCAGUAGAGGAGAGUGGAAUUCCAUGUGUAGCGGUGAAAUGCGUCGAUAUAUGGGGUAACACCAUUGGCGAAGGCGGCUCUCUGGUCUGUAACUGACGCUGAGGCUCGAAAGCGUGGAGAGCAAACAGG